CUGCGUCUUGGUGGUAGUUGUCCCCGGGGCCCAGCUGUUUUCUCUUUAUCUCUUUGUCUUGUGUCUUUAUUUCUUACAAUCUCUCCUCUCUGCACAGGGGAAGAACACCCACCCGCAAAGCCCCGUAGGGCUGGACCCUACAUCAGCCUGCCCUGCUCGGGGUUGGCGAUGCUGGAGGUGGGCCUUGGACCAGAGAAAAUGCUUUAAUUAGGUGACAAGCGGGCAGAGGCCUUUGUCUCUGGCGCCGGCAGCCACGGUCCCCGCUGACGGCAUGGGAAACAGACCCUGUUCCACUCCGGUCUCCAGCCUUGGAAUGGUUGCCUCGGUGCAAUGUAGGAGGACGCGGCAGAGGGCGGACGAUCGCUCCACUCGCCUGGACCAGGUGCGGGGGCCCUGCCCAGCCCCUGGGGCGUGGCCAGGCUCGAAGCACCCAGGUGUCGGGGGCCGACUCUAAGCCCUGGCACCGGAAGGGAGAGGGCGGCGGAUUGGACCUCCCGGCUCCAGCAUUGCAACUGGGCGCUCCGUCUCCUGGUCCACGCAAUGAUGCCGCGGCUGCUCAGAAGCCAGCCAUCCGCCCGGCCCGGGAGGACGGACGCUGCGAAACUCCCGGCCGCGCCCUCUCCUUCCUCUCCUCCCCAAGCCCUCGCUGCCAGUCCGGACAGGCUGCGCGGAGGGGAGGGC
Molecule: small RNA, 681 nt
Filed under: Pongo abelii (Sumatran orangutan)
Lineage: Eukaryota; Metazoa; Chordata; Mammalia; Primates; Hominidae
Description: processed transcript
Source: RNAcentral